RNAcentral lists this ribosomal RNA (253 nucleotides) under uncultured bacterium. RNAcentral describes it as "partial 16S ribosomal RNA". It matches the Rfam family "Bacterial small subunit ribosomal RNA", at positions 524 to 776 of the family's 1533-position model. The record is from RNAcentral.
UACGGGGGGGGCAAGCGUUGUUCGGAAUUACUGGGCGUAAAGGGCUCGUAGGCGGCCAACUAAGUCAGACGUGAAAUCCCCAGGCUCAACCUGGGAACUGCGUCUGAUACUGGUUGGCUUGAAUCCGGGAGAGGGAUGCAGAAUUCCAGGUGUAGCGGUGAAAUGCGUAGAUAUCUGGAGGAAUACCGGUGGCGAAGGCGGCAUCCUGGACCGGCAUUGACGCUGAGGAGCGAAAGCUAGGGGAGCAAACGGG